UGGGGAAUAUUGCACAAUGGGCGAAAGCCUGAUGCAGCGACGCCGCGUGAGGGAUGGAGGCCUUCGGGUUGUAAACCUCUUUCGCUCAUGGUCAAGCCGCAACAGUGGUUGUGGUGAGGGUAGUGGGUAAAGAAGCACCGGCUAACUACGUGCCAGCAGCCGCGGUAAUACGUAGGGUGCGAGCGUUGUCCGGAAUUAUUGGGCGUAAAGGGCUUGUAGGCGGUUUGUCGCGUCUGCCGUGAAAUCCUCUGGCUUAACUGGGGGCGUGCGGUGGGUACGGGCAGGCUUGAGUGCGGUAGGGGAGACUGGAACUCCUGGUGUAGCGGUGGAAUGCGCAGAUAUCAGGAAGAACACCGGUGGCGAAGGCGGGUCUCUGGGCCGUUACUGACGCUGAGGAGCGAAAGCGUGGGGAGCGAACAGGAUUAGAUACCCUGGUAGUCCACGCUGUAAACGUUGGGCACUAGGUGUGGGGGCCACCCGUGGUUUCUGCGCCGUAGCUAACGCUUUAAGUGCCCCGCCUGGGGAGUACGGCCGCAAGGCUA
RNAcentral lists this ribosomal RNA (542 nucleotides) under uncultured bacterium. Its description in RNAcentral is "bacterial SSU rRNA". It matches the Rfam family "Bacterial small subunit ribosomal RNA", at positions 355 to 896 of the family's 1533-position model. The record is from RNAcentral.